Molecule: ribosomal RNA, 492 nt
Filed under: uncultured bacterium
Lineage: Bacteria
Description: partial 16S ribosomal RNA
Rfam family: Bacterial small subunit ribosomal RNA
Source: RNAcentral
AGUGAACGCUGGCGGUAGGCCUAACACAUGCAAGUCGAACGGCAGCACAGUAAGAGCUUGCUCUUACGGGUGGCGAGUGGCGGACGGGUGAGGAAUACAUCGGAAUCUACUUUUUCGUGGGGGAUAACGUAGGGAAACUUACGCUAAUACCGCAUACGACCUACGGGUGAAAGCAGGGGAUCUUCGGACCUUGCGCGAUUGAAUGAGCCGAUGUCGGAUUAGCUAGUUGGCGGGGUAAAGGCCCACCAAGGCGACGAUCCGUAGCUGGUCUGAGAGGAUGAUCAGCCACACUGGAACUGAGACACGGUCCAGACUCCUACGGGAGGCAGCAGUGGGGAAUAUUGGACAAUGGGCGCAAGCCUGAUCCAGCUAUACCGCGUGUGUGAAGAAGGCCUUCGGGUUGUAAAGCCCUUUUGUUGGGAAAGAAAAGCAGCAGGUUAAUACCCCGCUGUUCUGACGGUACCCAAAGAAUAAGCACCGGCUAACUUCGUG